This 468-nucleotide ribosomal RNA is filed under the name uncultured bacterium. RNAcentral describes it as "partial 16S ribosomal RNA". It matches the Rfam family "Bacterial small subunit ribosomal RNA", at positions 28 to 507 of the family's 1533-position model. The record is from RNAcentral.
GACGAACGCUGGCGGUGUGCUUAACACAUGCAAGUCGAACGGUAAGGCCCUUUCGGGGGUACACGAGUGGCGAACGGGUGAGUAACACGGGAGUAACCUGCCCUCAUCUCUGGGAUAACAGUCGGAAACGGUUGCUAAUACUGGAUAUGAGCUUGCAAGGCAUCUUGUGGGUUGGAAAGAUUUUUUUUGGUUGGGGAUGGACUCGCGGCCUAUCAGCUUGUUGUGGAGGUAGUGGCUCACCAAGGCUUCGACGGGUAGCCGGCCGGAGUGGGCGACCGGCCACAUUGGGACUGAGAUACGGCCCAAACUCCUACGGGAGGCAGCAGUGGGGAAUAUUGCACAAUGGACGGAAGUCUGAUGCAGCAACGCCGCGUGCGGGAUGACGGCCUUCGGGUUGUAAACCGCUUUCAAUUGUGACGAAGCUUUUUUGUGACGGUAGCAGUAGAAGAAGCACCGGCUAACUACGUG